UCAAAUUUAUAAUCUGGCACCUUCGGUGUCCGAGUUGUAAUCUCUAGAAAUGUUUUCCGCGUUGGACCGCACACAAGUCUGUUGGAAUACAGCGGCAUAGUGGUGAGACCCCCGUAUAUGGUGCGGACGCCCAGCGCUUUGUGAUACAUUUUCGAAGAGUCGAGUUGUUUGGGAAUGCAGCUCAAAUUGGGUGGUAAAUUCCAUCUAAAGCUAAAUAUUGGCGAGAGACCGAUAGCGAACAAGUACCGUGAGGGAAAGAUGAAAAGCACUUUGGAAAGAGAGUUAACAGUACGUGAAAUUGUUGGAAGGGAAACGCUUGAAGUCAGACUUGCUUGCUGAGCAAUCGGUUUGCAGGCCAGCAUCAGUUUUCCGGGAUGGAUAAUGGUAGAGAGAAGGUAGCAGUUUCGGCUGUGUUAUAGCUCUCUGCUGGAUACAUCUUGGGGGACUGAGGAACGCAGUGUGCCUUUGGCGGGGGUUUCGACCUCUUCACACUUAGGAUGCUGGUGGAAUGGCUUUAAACGACCCGUCUUGAAACACGGACCAA
This 544-nucleotide ribosomal RNA is filed under the name Rhodotorula mucilaginosa. RNAcentral describes it as "partial large subunit ribosomal RNA". It matches the Rfam family "Eukaryotic large subunit ribosomal RNA", at positions 109 to 669 of the family's 3401-position model. The record is from RNAcentral. Lineage: Eukaryota; Fungi; Basidiomycota; Microbotryomycetes; Sporidiobolales; Sporidiobolaceae.